This 807-nucleotide non-coding RNA is filed under the name Spilosoma lubricipeda. The record is from RNAcentral. Lineage: Eukaryota; Metazoa; Arthropoda; Insecta; Lepidoptera; Erebidae.
AAUAAAAAUGUUUAUAGUUUGAUUAAUUUAUUUAAAGUUUAUUUUACAUAUAAAUUUUAGUGUUAAUUUUAAAUUUAUUUUAAUAAUAAAUUAAUUAAUUUAUAGUAAUUAAUAUUAAGUAUUUAAGAAAUUAAGAUUUAGUAAUAUUUAAAUUAAUAACAAAUUUUGUGCCAGCAGUUGCGGUUAAACAUAAAUUAAAUUAAAUUUUAUUAGUAAUUAAUAAAUAAAUUUAUUAAUAAUUUAAAAUUUAAAUUAUUAGGUGAAAUUUUAAUUUAAUAUAAUAUUAAUUGAAUUUUAUGAUUUAAUAAAUUUUAUUAAAAACUAGGAUUAGAUACCCUAUUAUGAAAAUUUUAAAUUUAAAUACUAAAAUAGUAAGUGAUUAUUCAUUGAAACUUAAAUAAUUUGGCGGUAUUUUAGUUCAUUUAGAGGAAUCUGUUUAAUAAUUGAUAAUCCACGAAUAAAUUUACUUAAUUUUUAAUUUUGUAUAUCGUUGUUAAAAAAAUAUUUUUUAAUAAAAAUAAUAUUUAAAAAUUUAUAUUUAUAAAUUAAAUCAGAUCAAGAUGCAGAUUAUAAUUAAGAAUAUAAUGGAUUACAAUAAAUUUAUUUAUAUGGACAUUAAUUUGAAAAAUUUAAUUAAAAGUGGAUUUAAAUGUAAUUUUAUUUAAUUUAAUAAAAUGAUUAUAAAUUGGAAUAUGUACAUAUUGCCCGUCGCUUUCAUAUGUUCAUAUUUAUAUUAUUUAAAUAUAAAUAAUAAAUUGAAAUAAGUCGUAACAAAGUAGAGAUACUGGAAAGUGUUUCUAGAAAGAC